AAUGAUCAGCCACACUGGAACUGAGACACGGUCCAGACUCCUACGGGAGGCAGCAGUGGGGAAUAUUGCGCAAAUGGGGGAAACCCUGACGCAGCAACGCCGCGUGUGUGAUGAAGGCCUUCGGUCGUAAAGACACUGUGAGGUGGAACGAGCCGCCGGGGUUAAGUACCCUUCGGCCCGACGGUACCACCAGAGGAAGCACCGGCUAACCCUACGUGCCAGCAGCCGCGGUAAUACAGGGGUGCAAGCGUUGUUCGGAAUUAUUGGGCGUAAAGCGCGUGUAGGCGGGCCACUAAGUCUGGUGUGAAAUCCCUCGGCUUAACCGAGGACGUGCAUUGGAUACUGGUGGCCUUGAGUCCUGGAGAGGGGUAGCGGAAUUCCCAGUGUAGAGGUGAAAAUUCGUAGAUAUUGGGAGGAACACCGGUGGCGAAGGCGGCUACCUGGACAGUGACUGACGCUGAGACGCGAAAGCAU
RNAcentral lists this ribosomal RNA (474 nucleotides) under uncultured bacterium. Its description in RNAcentral is "bacterial SSU rRNA". It matches the Rfam family "Bacterial small subunit ribosomal RNA", at positions 299 to 762 of the family's 1533-position model. The record is from RNAcentral.